This 542-nucleotide ribosomal RNA is filed under the name uncultured bacterium. Its description in RNAcentral is "bacterial SSU rRNA". It matches the Rfam family "Bacterial small subunit ribosomal RNA", at positions 967 to 1509 of the family's 1533-position model. The record is from RNAcentral.
AACCUUACCUGGUCUUGACAUAGUAAGAACUUUCCAGAGAUGGAUUGGUGCCUUCGGGAACUUACAUACAGGUGCUGCAUGGCUGUCGUCAGCUCGUGUCGUGAGAGUGUUGGGUUAAGUCCCGCAACGAGCGCAACCCUUUCCUAUUUGCCAGCGGGUUAAGCCGGGAACUUUAAGGAUACUGCCAGUGACAAACUGGAGGAAGGCGGGGACGACGUCAAGUCAUCAUGGCCCUUACGACCAGGGCUACACACGUGCUACAAUGGUCGGUACAAAGGGUUGCUACCUAGCGAUAGGAUGCUAAUCUCAAAAAGCCGAUCGUAGUCCGGAUUGGAGUCUGCAACUCGACUCCAUGAAGUCGGAAUCGCUAGUAAUCGCGGAUCAGAAUGCCGCGGUGAAUACGUUCCCGGGCCUUGUACACACCGCCCGUCACACCAUGGGAGUUUGUUGCACCAGAAGUAGGUAGUCUAACCGCAAGGAGGACGCUUACCACGGUGUGGCCGAUGACUGGGGUGAAGUCGUAACAAGGUAAGCGUAGAUGA